CCAGACUCCUACGGGAGGCAGCAGUGGGG
RNAcentral lists this non-coding RNA (29 nucleotides) under Bombyx mori (domestic silkworm). Lineage: Eukaryota; Metazoa; Arthropoda; Insecta; Lepidoptera; Bombycidae. The record is from RNAcentral. RNAcentral also lists the same sequence under 1 other name.